Molecule: ribosomal RNA, 506 nt
Filed under: uncultured bacterium
Lineage: Bacteria
Description: partial 16S ribosomal RNA
Rfam family: Bacterial small subunit ribosomal RNA
Source: RNAcentral
GAUGAACGCUAGCUACAGGCUUAACACAUGCAAGUCGAGGGGUAACGAGAGGAAAGCUUGCUUUCCUUGUCGACGACCGGCGCACGGGUGAGUAACGCGUAUCCAACCUGCCCCCAACUAGGGAAUAACCUUGCGAAAGUAAGACUAAUACCCUAUAAUUUCCUCAGAUGUCAUCUGACGAGGAAUAAAGAUUUAUCGGUUGGGGAUGGGGGUGCGUCUGAUUAGCUUGUUGGCGGGGUAACGGCCCACCAAGGCAACGAUCAGUAGGGGUUCUGAGAGGAAGGUCCCCCACAUUGGAACUGAGACACGGUCCAAACUCCUACGGGAGACAGCUGUGAGGAAUAUUGGUCAAUGGGCGGAAGCCUGAACCAGCCAAGUAGCGUGCAGGAUGACGGCCCUAUGGGUUGUAAACUGCUUUUAUACAGGAAUAAAGUUAGCCACGUGUGGUUAUUUGUAGGUACUGUAUGAAUAAGGACCGGCUAAUUCCGUGCCAGCAGCCGCCGCCG